Molecule: non-coding RNA, 30 nt
Filed under: Mus musculus (house mouse)
Lineage: Eukaryota; Metazoa; Chordata; Mammalia; Rodentia; Muridae
Source: RNAcentral
UGAAUAGCUCACUUACAUGAUGUGCCCUAA